Molecule: transfer RNA, 87 nt
Filed under: Streptomyces sp. MP131-18
Lineage: Bacteria; Bacillati; Actinomycetota; Actinomycetes; Kitasatosporales; Streptomycetaceae
Description: tRNA-Ser
Source: RNAcentral
GGCGCGUCUGCGUCGCGGGGGCGGCGGCCUGCUCGGCCGCGGGCGCCGGGUCCGUGGCGAUGUCGGGCCGCACUCCGUCGCGGGUCA